UACGUAGGCAGCGAGCGUUGUUCGGAGUUACUGGGCGUAAAGGGUGUGUAGGCGGUUGUUUAAGUUUGGUGUGAAAUCUCCCGGCUCAACUGGGAGGGUGCGCCGAAUACUGAAUGACUUGGAGUGCGGGAGAGGUGAGUGGAAUUCCUGGUGUAGCGGUGAAAUGCGUAGAUAUCAGGAAGAACACCAAUGGCGAAGGCAGCUCUCUGGGACGGUACUGACGCUGAGACGCGAAAGUGCGGGGAUCAAACAGG
RNAcentral lists this ribosomal RNA (254 nucleotides) under uncultured bacterium. RNAcentral describes it as "partial 16S ribosomal RNA". It matches the Rfam family "Bacterial small subunit ribosomal RNA", at positions 524 to 776 of the family's 1533-position model. The record is from RNAcentral.